UGUUUCAGUAGGCCUACUCCCUCUUAUCAAUGUUUCAGUAGGCCUACUCCCUCUUAUCAAUGUUUCAGUAGGCCUACUCCCUCUUAUCAAUGUUUCAGUAGGCCUACUCCCUCUUUAUCAAUGUUUCAGUAGGCCUACUCCCUCUUAUCAAUGUUUCAGUAGGCCUUAUCAAUGUUUCAGUAGGCCUACUCCCUCUUUAUCAAUGUUUCAGUAGGCCUUCUCCCUCUUAUCAAUGUUUCAGUAGGCCUUCUCCCUCUUAUCAAUGUUUCAGUAGGCCUUCUCCCUCUUAUCAAUGUUUCAGUAGGCCUUCUCCCUCUUUAUCAAUGUUUCAGUAGGCCUUAUCAAUGCCUACUCCCUCUUAUCAAUGUUUCAGUAGGCCUUCUCCCUCUUAUCAAUGUUUCAGUAGGCCUACUCCCUCUUUAUCAAUGUUUCAGUAGGCCUUAUCAAUGUUUCAGUAGGCCUUAUCAAUGUUUCAGUAGGCCUUAUCAAUGUUUCAGUAGGCCUUAUCAAUGUUUCAGUAGGCCUUAUCAAUGUUUCAGUAGGCCUUCUCCCUCUUAUCAAUGUUCUUGAAGUUUAACACUUCCUCAUUUGCCACACACACUCAAGUACUGAAAGCUUCAGGCGUUCUCAAUGAGUGUUUUUCUGAUUGGAGUGUUGACUAUAAGGAAAAUAGAACUGUAUCCAUGGAGACAACGAGCUUUUUAAACCUGUCCAAUGUUAUGACUUCUACAGAAUACAUUAACAACCGAUCAGCCAGGCCUGAGGUCAUGUCAGAUAUAAUACAAGGUAUUAGAUGUAGCCUAGGAUACUGAUCCAUGUUCUUCAACAUCAACUAGUCACAAACUGCUAAUAGAAUUGGGAUACUUUUCUGAACUUAACCUGAAAAACUAAAAUAGUAACGUUAGGUAAAUGGAAUGGAUUUCCUGUUUUUGAUUAAAAUCAUUGUGGGAAGUUAGCUAACUAGUUGAUUCAAGAUACAAUCAGGCGGGGCAUUGUAAACAUUUAGUUUGGUUGGCUAGCUAGCGUUAGCAUAACUAGCUAACUGCUUUUGUACAAAUGAUGUUCUUGCUGUUACCUAAAGAAACGCCUGGGAAUGUGUUUAUGGUUGAACUUCAUGUCAGUUUUCCAGUUUAACUGUUGUUGAAAGCUGUGCGCGUAGUGCACCACAAGAGGCCGACAGCGCUACUGAGACCGAGGUCACACGGACUGAGAGGGUGACCGGGCACAGAGCGUGUUGUGUGUUGCGCUUAAAACGGUCCGUGUGGAAACGGGCGCUCAAAAAGGGUCCGUGUGAUGAAGAAAUGGAGACAUGAUUAACGGUGUCCAAUUUUGUUUUUAAGGAAUUACAAAUGUCACGCGUUAUUAACAAGUUAACUUUGACAGCCCCAAGUUUUAAAACAUAAUGGGUUUCAUUUUCAAAUAGAAAAAGGUAGGGAAAUAUAUUAAGUGAUUUGAAGUUUGAAAUUAGUUUGGCUCAAUUUCAAGGACAAAACAAAUUUCAAGUUUUAUGUGUUUAACGAUUUUGGAAACGUUAGACUUUUUUGAUAACCUGGGAAAGUGGAGAGAGAAAUCCGGCCUUAGCUUUGGCACAUUUUGGGAGAGUGUUAUUUUAUUUGUACUAAGGUGUUUUUCACCAAAGUUGACUGGUUUGAUAUUCUUUAUGUUGACUGCAUAUAUUUUCUAAACACAACCCUCCCCUUUUUUUUCACUUUUAUAUAUUUGAUAUUUACAAAGGUUUUUGUAUGAAUUGGUUGUAUUUUGCUUGUGUGUAGUCACUAGCUGCUAAUGCUUUACCAACGAUAUUACAAACACACUGAAUAAUAAUAGAUAUGGUGUUGUGCCCAAGAGCAGCUGGUUAAGAACAAAAGUGGGAUGUUUUCAGAUUCUUGUGUUUUAACUUUUUAAUCUAGGAGACAUUUAUUUACAAGAAGAAUUGACAUGGUACUGAAGGAGCAGCUUUGAAAACCAAUAUAUUUUAAAAGCUUGAAGGACUUUUUUUUUAUGAUUCAAAACAUGUUUAUUUAUGGCUUCCUGCAUGAUGCUGUUUUUAUUUUUUAUACCCAGAUGUUUUUUUCUUUUCUAAAUGAUUUGUCUGUCUGACAUAUUGAAUAACCUGUUUUGAUGGGAAUAGGAAGCAUGAUGGAACUACUUGUUGAGUGGUUUAAUCUUGUAUCCGUCUGCGUCCCAAAUGGGACCCCCCCCCCACCACCACCACCAUAUAGUGCACUAUAUGAGCCCUGGUCAAAAGUAUUAGCAUUCCAUUUGGGACGUAGACUUUGACCCCUAUUCACACUGCCUAGGCAGUAGAGUAAUGUCCAAUACAUGUCAUGUUUCUGUUCAAUAAAUAAACUGAAAAUACUUCC
This 2363-nucleotide long non-coding RNA is filed under the name Salmo salar (Atlantic salmon). RNAcentral describes it as "lncRNA (ENSSSAG00000094988.1)". The record is from RNAcentral. Lineage: Eukaryota; Metazoa; Chordata; Actinopteri; Salmoniformes; Salmonidae.